CCUACGGGUGGCAGCAGUGGGGAAUAUUGGACAAUGGGCGAAAGCCUGAUCCAGCCAUGCCGCGUGUGUGAAGAAGGCCUUCGGGUUGUAAAGCACUUUCAGUGGGGAAGAAAGCCUUGGGGCUAAUACCCUCGAGGAAGGACAUCACCCACAGAAGAAGCACCGGCUAACUCCGUGCCAGCAGCCGCAGUAAUACGGAGGGUGCGAGCGUUAAUCGGAAUUAUUGGGCGUAAAGCGCGCGUAGGCGGUCUGAUAAGCCGGUUGUGAAAGCCCCGGGCUCAACCUGGGAACGGCAUCCGGAACUGUCAGGCUAGAGUGCAGGAGAGGAAGGUAGAAUUCCCGGUGUAGCGGUGAAAUGCGUAGAGAUCGGGAGGAAUACCAGUGGCGAAGGCGGCCUUCUGGACUGACACUGACGCUGAGGUGCGAAAGCGUGGGUAGCAAACAGGAUUAGAUACCCCUGAGUC
This 464-nucleotide ribosomal RNA is filed under the name Vreelandella stevensii. Its description in RNAcentral is "partial 16S ribosomal RNA". It matches the Rfam family "Bacterial small subunit ribosomal RNA", at positions 338 to 795 of the family's 1533-position model. The record is from RNAcentral. Lineage: Bacteria; Pseudomonadati; Pseudomonadota; Gammaproteobacteria; Oceanospirillales; Halomonadaceae.